This 982-nucleotide unclassified non-coding RNA is filed under the name Hevea brasiliensis (rubber tree). Lineage: Eukaryota; Viridiplantae; Streptophyta; Magnoliopsida; Malpighiales; Euphorbiaceae. The record is from RNAcentral.
UGCUCUGCUACUUUCAAAAAUUGAGGUAUAUGGUUGAAAAAAUUUUUUGAGAAUAAUUUUAUUCUUUUGGCUUCUUACUCAUGGCUUUACGCUUAUUAACAUCCAGGUAUCUUUUUCUUAGCCGAAUGGCCUUAGGUGUGACCUCAAUGAAUUCAUCAGAAGCAACAUACCCGAUGGCUUCUUCUAGAGUCAUCAGGCGAGGUGGAGAUAGUCUCACAUUCUCGUCUUUGCAAGCGGCACGCACAUUAGUAAGUUCCUUGGUCCUAACUGGGUUAACAUCAAGAUCUGUAUCCCGUGAAUGUUCACCAACAAUCAUGCCAUCAUAUGUCUCCAUUCCAGGAGUAACGAAGAGUGUUCCGCGAGCUUCUAAACUCAUUAAUGCAUGUGCUGUGAUUGUACCAUAGCCCAUUGAUACCAAUACCCCCUUCCUAACGUUUCCAAGUGGGCCCCGAUGUUUUGCAUAGUUCAGGAAAGCCCGAUGCAUAAAUCCUGUUCCACGAGUGUCACUGCUGAACACACUCCUAUAACCAACCAGACCCCUUGAUGGAGAAGUCAAAGACAAUCUAGUCCUGCCAACAUGUCCAGGAACAGGACCCAUAUCAACAACUUCUGCUCGCCUAUGAGAUAGAGCCUCCAUAAUUAAUCCCACAUGCUCUUCAUUUACCUCAAUGGUUACUUCUUCAAUUGGUUCAAGCUUCUCACCUUUCUCAGUUUUAUACAUGACUUUUGGUGGUGAGACAGACAGCUCAAAUCCUUCACGCCUCAUAUUCUCAAUCAAAAUUCCAAGUUGAAGUUCCCCUCUCCCUUGUACCUCAUACGAUUCUGAUAAGCCAGGAAUCACAUUUAUGGCAAGGUUAGUUUCAGCUUCAGCCAUUAACCGAUCACCAAUUUUUCCUCCUGUCAAAUGGGUACCAUCUCGGCCAGCUAAUGGAGAGUCAUUUACACCAAAGGUCAUGGAUAUGGUUGGAGGGUCCAAUUCAAC